CUGCACUACAUUUCUGCUUCUGUACUACACUCUCUAAUACUGUGACCUUCGUUGUAGCACCUGAGAUGGAAUGUAGGGUCCGGGGACCCCGCGAAGCCUGGGAACUUCCUGAGAGAAGUGAGCUUGUGACCCAGAGUGCGGGAGAAAGAAGUCCCGGGGUCCGCCCAACCUUAAUCCCCAGUGUCGGGCUCCGAUCCCAUGUCCAGCCUCACCUGAGAAUAUCCCAGGUCAGUGGCACCGCGGGGAAAGCGUGUUUUUAGCGCAGUUGGCGAGCGUGCCAGAAAGCGCAGGCGGUAGGUCUGUGGUGGAGCACGAGUUCUGGAACCAGAAAGACCAGAGUAAAUUCCAGCUCUGGGAUUUCACCUGUAAGCAGAGGCGACAAAGGGAACCUAGCUUCACAGCAGAAGCAGAAAAGCCGGUCUGCACAGCCAGAAGCAGUUCUUGAUUCUCCUGCCCAGAAAGAGCCAAAUUUGAUGAAGACACCAGCACAUUCAGAAGCCACCACACUGUGUGACAGUGGGCAGUUUGGGCCAGCGUGAAGAAGAGUGAAGUGAGAUGCUGUGCUGCUCUCAUAUGUAUCUACCACCACAUGUUAUCAUCCAUUUCUGAUUCAUUUAAAACUUUAAAGAAGUUGGACCUGAGAGUGUCAGUAAAUUGUCCAGGGCCAUCUGUUUUUGACAGAAUCUAAGACAGUGCCAUGCACUCUGCCACAGUCUAUGCUGUUGCAUGUUUCUGUAAUUCACUUAUUUUUACUGAUAGCAGGGUUAUUCAAGGAUGUGACUAUGGAGUUCACCCAGGAGGAGCAGAAACACCUGGGCUCUGCUCAGA
Pteropus alecto (black flying fox) is the source of this 828-nucleotide long non-coding RNA. RefSeq lists it as uncharacterized. The transcript is spliced from 4 exons. Lineage: Eukaryota; Metazoa; Chordata; Mammalia; Chiroptera; Pteropodidae. The record is from RefSeq and is a predicted model, not a curated record.